CUGUAUCGUUAAAAAUAGCCGGGUCGACGUAAGUAUUCGAUUUAAAACAGGAAGUGAAAUGAGAAACGAGUCACCUUUCAGCAUGUUGACGCUUUCUGUUGAAUCGUAUCAAAAGCAGGUAGAUAAACCAUUUGGCCACCCGUGUUCCUUUUGGGCGAUGAUUGAAAAACUGCAACGGAAGUGUUUCCGCACAACUGCAAGAUACUAAAGUAUCUCAGGGAUGCAAUCGAGCGAAUACCAAAUGAGAGAAGGAGAGCGAGAGUGAACAAACAACAGCACAGCAGCAGCUUCUACGCGUUUAGAUAUCUGUCGAUUCAUUAGCAGCCCCAGACAGCGUGAUAUAUUUUAUAAUCGGAUACUAAGCCGCUCGUCGCUCUCAUUGCCACCAAAACAUAUUUGCAGGAGCGUAACACUGCCACAGACUUCGUUUAUUUUUUGUUUUUGUGGUGUACAAUGGAAAAAUUGCUCAAGGCGUGCACAUAAAAAAUGCCGACAUUUGACCACACACAAAAGACAGAGAGCGAAAAAAAAUAAAGAGAGAGGGAGAGGGAGAGAGAGAGAGACUGGCAAACACACAACGAAAAAAGGGGGAAACUGCUGUGAGACUUGAACAACAACAAGAAAGCGGCUUAAAGAGAUGGCCAGACUGGUUUUUGGCUGGAAAUUGCGACUUCGAAGCGUCAACAGUGACCGCCGCAGUAGCCAAAGUCGAAGCUAUAGUAGAAGCCGAAGUCGAAGUCAGCUCUCGACCAGCUGCCCAAGUUGCCAAAGCGAAAACAACAACAACAAAGUUACAGAGCCCGAAGCUCAAAGCUGAAGCCAAGCCCCAGACAGAUGAUAUUCUUGAGUUUUUAAAUUCUUGGUAAAAACAAUUUCAAUUUACUUUGCAACGAUGAAGAAACUACCUAAAAAAGGCAUAUCAGUCAUUGUUCAAGCCAAGCUUAUUUGCUUUUUGGCCACACAAAACUAUGGAGACAUUCUCGUAGUCGUAUUUGUAUUAGUAUUUGUGUGCUCAUCAUGACGUUGAUAAUCACGAUAAUCAUGUUGAUGGUUAGC
Long non-coding RNA from Drosophila albomicans, 1056 nucleotides. RefSeq lists it as uncharacterized. Lineage: Eukaryota; Metazoa; Arthropoda; Insecta; Diptera; Drosophilidae. The transcript is spliced from 3 exons. The record is from RefSeq and is a predicted model, not a curated record.